This 508-nucleotide ribosomal RNA is filed under the name uncultured fungus. Its description in RNAcentral is "SSU rRNA". It matches the Rfam family "Eukaryotic small subunit ribosomal RNA", at positions 569 to 1078 of the family's 1831-position model. Lineage: Eukaryota; Fungi. The record is from RNAcentral.
AGCAGCCGCGGUAAUUCCAGCUCCAAUAGCGUAUAUUAAAGUUGUUGCAGUUAAAAAGCUCGUAGUUGAAUUUCGGGAUCAAUUUAUCGGUCGUGCCAAUGGUAUGAACUGGUACAAUUGGUUUCUCCCUUCUGACGAAGCAUGAUGUCAUUAAUUUGGUGUCGUGGGGAAUCAGGACUGUUACUUUGAAAAAAUUAGAGUGUUUAAAGCAAGCAUUAGCUUGAAUACAUUAGCAUGGAAUAAUGAAAUAGGACGUUUGAUCCUAUUUCGUUGGUUUCUAGGAUCGACGUAAUGAUUAAUAGGGAUAGUUGGGGGCAUUAGUAUUCAAUUGUCAGAGGUGAAGUUCUUGGAUUUAUUGAAGACUAACUACUGCGAAAGCAUUUGCCAAGGAUGUUUUCAUUAAUCAAGAACGAAAGUUAGGGGAUCGAAGACGAUCAGAUACCGUCGUAGUCUUAACCAUAAACUAUGCCGACUAGGGAUCGGAUGAUGUUAAUUUUUUAAUGACUCA